GGCAACAAUUAUAUACACAGAUAUGCACAUGGAUGACAAGAAAGUCAAAACGAAGUCCCUUUCUCUUGGAUUAUGCAAUAAUAUAAUAAGAUGAAUAUGGGUGCACAAGCAAUACAUGACAUUCAACAACUAGGUCAAGUAUAGGAACAUGAUACACAACAUCAAUAUGGCAUGACCAAACAAGGAGCAACAUCAAGGCAUAUGACAUGACUCAAGCACAAACAAGAUCAAUCCUGAACCAUCAAGCACCAACAUGGUACAUGUUAU
This 267-nucleotide long non-coding RNA is filed under the name Lathyrus oleraceus (garden pea). Its description in RNAcentral is "Pisum sativum (pea) long non-coding RNA (PSAT_LNC031551)". Lineage: Eukaryota; Viridiplantae; Streptophyta; Magnoliopsida; Fabales; Fabaceae. The record is from RNAcentral.